CAAUAAGCUUUCAAGGGCAAAUGGUGGAUGCCUUGGGUGAUAGAGGCGAUGAAGGACGUACUAGACUGCGAUAAGCUAUGGGGAGCUGUCAAGAAGCUUUGAUCCAUAGAUUUCCGAAUGGGGCAACCCAAUGCGUAGCAAUACGCAUUACCAUAAUAGGAGCGAACCUAGCGAAGUGAAACAUCUCAGUAGCUAGAGGAAAAGAAAUCGUAAUGAGAUUCUCUUAGUAGCGGCGAGCGAACGGGGAAGAGGGCAAACCGAAUGCUUGCAUUCGGGGUUGAGGACUGCAAUAUCCACUUAGAAAUUCUAGCAGAAGGAUUUGGAAAAUUCCGCUAUAAAGGGUGAUAGCCCCGUAUGCGAAAGGAUUUUUAUAGGUAGCAGUAUCCAGAGUAGGUCAGGACACGUGAAAUCCGGACUGAAGCAGGGGAGACCACUCUCCAACCCUAAAUACUCCUAUCACACCGAUAGCGAACAAGUACCGUGAGGGAAAGGUGAAAAGAACCGCAGUGAGCGGAGUGAAAUAGAACCUGAAACCAUUUGCCUACAAUCAUUCAGAGCCCUAUGAUUUAUCAGGGUGAUGGACUGCCUUUUGCAUAAUGAUCCUGCGAGUUGUGGUAUCUGGCAAGGUUAAGCAAACGCGAAGCCGUAGCGAAAGCGAGUCUGAAAGGGCGCAGGCUCCUCUUUUAUAGUUAUUUUGGAUUCUUUUAUCGUAAAGAUAGAAUCUUAAAGUCUUAAGAAACUUAAGAGAGUGUAGAAGGAUUCUAAAUUUUUAGAAUCUAACACGCACACAAGAAAUUCUAGGAUUGUGCGUAAGAUUUGUGGGUUGCGCAGAAAAAAUCGAUGCGUAGCAUACUCCUUGUAUGUAAGCAAGAUUUUUUCAAGCUCCCGUAAAGAUUGCGUGCAAGCCGAAUUUCUAGCCAAUAGUAACUAUAAAUGAGGAGCCUAAAGUCAGAUGCUGCAGACCCGAAGCGAAGUGAUCUAUCCAUGGCCAAGUUGAAAGUGGGGUAACACCCACCGGAGGACUGAACUCGUGCCCAUUGAAACGGGCUGGGAUGAGCUGUGGAUAGGGGUGAAAGGCCAAACAAACUUCGUGAUAGCUGGUUCUCUUCGAAAUAUAUUUAGGUAUAGCCUCAAGUGAUAGCAAUAGGGGGUAGAGCUCUGAUUGGGCUAGGGCUGCUCACCGCGGUACCAACCCCUGUCAAACUGCGAAUACCUAUUGCCCUAUCUUGGGAGUCAGGCGGUGGGUGAUAAAAUCAAUCGUCAAGAGGGAAACAACCCAGACUACCAACUAAGGUCCCAAAGUUCUAUUCUAAGUGGAAAAUGAUGUGAAGUUACUCAGACAACCAGGAGGUUGGCUUAGAAGCAGCCAUCCUUUAAAGAAAGCGUAACAGCUCACUGGUCUAGUGAUUUUGCGCAGAAAAUAUAACGGGGCUAAGAUAGACACCGAAGUUGUAGAUUAUGCUGAUGCAUAGUGGUAGAAGAGCGUUCUAUAUGCGCUGAAGGUAUAUCGGCAAGAAGUGCUGGAGCGUAUAGAAGUGAGCAUGCAGGAAUGAGUAGCGAUAAAAGUGGUGAGAAUCCACUUCGCCGAAAGUCUAAGGUUUCCUACGCGAUGCUCGUCAUCGUAGGGUUAGUCGGGUCCUAAGCCAAGUCCGAAAGGGGUAGGCGAUGGGAAAUAGGUUAAUAUUCCUAUACCAACCAUUGUGCGCGAUGGGGGGACGCAUAGGGCUAAGCGAUGUUAGCGGAUGGAAGUGCUAACUUAAGAGUGUAAAUUGAGGGAUAGGCAAAUCCGCCCUUGUAUUUGAAACUCCAAUAGCUUCUUGCGGUCUUCGGACCAAGGGGAGUAUCGCUGAUGCCGUCGUGCCAAGAAAAGCCUCUAAGUUUAACAAUGGUUGCCCGUACCGCAAACCGACACAGGUAGAUGAGAUGAGUAUUCUAAGGCGCGUGAAAGAACUCUGGUUAAGGAACUCUGCAAACUAGCACCGUAAGUUCGCGAUAAGGUGUGCCUACGCAAGUAGGUCUCAGCAAAGAGUCCCUCCCGACUGUUUACCAAAAACACAGCACUUUGCAAACUCGUAAGAGGAAGUAUAAGGUGUGACGCCUGCCCGGUGCUCGAAGGUUAAGAGGAUUCGUUAGAGGCAACUCAAAGCGUUGAAUUGAAGCCCGAGUAAACGGCGGCCGUAACUAUAACGGUCCUAAGGUAGCGAAAUUCCUUGUCGGUUAAAUACCGACCUGCAUGAAUGGCGUAACGAGAUGGGAGCUGUCUCAACCAGGGAUUCAGUGAAAUUGUAGUGGAGGUGAAAAUUCCUCCUACCCGCGGCAAGACGGAAAGACCCCGUGGACCUUUACUACAGCUUGGCACUGCCGAUGGGAAUAUUAUGCGCAGGAUAGGUGGGAGGCUUUGAAAUCUUCACUCCGGUGGAGAUGGAGCCACCCUUGAGAUACCACCCUUAAUGUUUCUGUCUGCUAACUGGCUAGAGUUAUCCUCUAGCAGGACAAUGUCUGGUGGGUAGUUUGACUGGGGCGGUCGCCUCCUAAAAAGUAACGGAGGCUUGCAAAGGUUGGCUCAUUGCGGUUGGAAAUCGCAAGUAGAGUGUAAUGGCAUAAGCCAGCCUGACUGUAAGACAAACAAGUCGAGCAGAGACGAAAGUCGGUCAUAGUGAUCCGGUGAUUCUGUGUGGAAGGGUCAUCGCUCAAAGGAUAAAAGGUACCCCGGGGAUAACAGGCUGAUCUCCCCCAAGAGCUCACAUCGACGGGGAGGUUUGGCACCUCGAUGUCGGCUCAUCGCAUCCUGGGGCUGGAGCAGGUCCCAAGGGUAUGGCUGUUCGCCAUUUAAAGCGGUACGCGAGCUGGGUUCAGAACGUCGUGAGACAGUUCGGUCGCUAUCUGCCGUGGGCGUAGGAGAGUUGAGGAGAGCUGUCCCUAGUACGAGAGGACCGGGAUGGACAUGCCACUGGUGUAUCAGUUGUCCUGCCAAGGGCAUCGCUGGGUAGCUACGCAUGGAUGUGAUAACCGCUGAAAGCAUCUAAGCGGGAAGCCAACUCCAAGAUGAACUCUCCCUGAAGGUCGCAGCAAGACUAGCUGCUUGAUAGGGUAGAUGUGUAAGCAUAGUAAUGUGUUUAGCUGACUACUACUAAUAGACCGCUUGGCUUAUUGUU
Helicobacter fennelliae MRY12-0050 is the source of this 3155-nucleotide ribosomal RNA. It matches the Rfam family "Bacterial large subunit ribosomal RNA". NCBI's taxonomy places the organism in Bacteria, Pseudomonadati, Campylobacterota, Epsilonproteobacteria, Campylobacterales, Helicobacteraceae. The record is from Rfam.